AGUACGGGCGGAUUCCACGGCCACUCCACGCCCGCAGCCCCUGCACAGGCUGGCUCCAGCCAGUGGUCGGCCACGUGCACAGGGAUCGCCCUUCACGGGUACCGAAGCCUCCAAGAUUGCAGUGGUAAGCGUGGGGUCCAGAUUUCUGUUGCCCUGCACCCAGCGGAUGAGUUCGGACUUCUGGGGCGGGAGCGAGCUGCUCAGCCCCUCCCUAGAGGGGGCAGCGCGACAGUGGGCUGCGGGCGCCGCCUGUGCUGCGUCCAGGGCUGCGCGCUCCGCUCAGCUCUUUCCCGCUUCGAACCGGAGUCCGCGCACGCCGCGCUGCCGCCUCUUCCUAAGCCGCCGCUCGGCUGGCUGCUAGACGCGCGUUCGAUUCUUUUUCCUCAGGCUGACUGAUUUUCGGGUGUGAAGAAUUUCGCCUCGGUCCCUACGAGCAUCUCGGCCUCUCUUCCCCUCCUCUCUGGAUUCCCCCACCCCGUAGGGGAGCGCGCGCGCGCGCGCGCACACACACACACACACACACACACACACACACACACUUCCACUUGCAAACGCGCGUGCGCACGCCCGCGCGCCCCGAGCCGGGGAGUCUCCAGCGCCCCUCAGCAGAUCAUACUCUCUCGGGCGCCGCUACUCACACAGGCUUCCAGCCGCCACGGGGCGUCCCCUAUCUGCGGCGGAGGAGGCGGAGAGAACCGCAGGUACAGCCUGGCCGCUUCUUGCAGCUCCGUGUUCGGGACGGAGUUCGGGAGAAGCGGAGAAGGAGGACACCGAGACAAGGAAGAGCCGCGCCCGGCUCCUGGUAUUGCGGCCCCAGGAGAGACGUUGGUGAACGAGCUUGGGGAGCUGAAGGCGAAGGACGUGGGUCUUUUAUGGAGUGAGACGUGAAAGAGAAAUCCAGACGGGCGCUCCUGAGAGGUGGAGGGUUUAGGGCAUGCUGUGUGUGGUGACAACCCUUCUAGCUGGCAGCAUCUCCUACCUGUGACCUCUUCUGGGAAUUAUCAUCAGGAGCCAACUGCAACCAGCGUUUCUCAGUUCUUGUUCCAAGAAUCACCUGGCAUGUCAAAGCCACACUGUUUUCUGUGGGGCUUCCUCUGUCAACAGCUUCCAUUUAAAAGACUUUUAUGAAUACAUGGUUUCACUCAAGUCCCUGAAGAACAUUAUUUUUCUUCUGAUCUGCUGGAGUUUUUAGGUUUGUGUUAAUUUU
This is a long non-coding RNA of Phyllostomus discolor (pale spear-nosed bat), 1207 nucleotides long. RefSeq lists it as uncharacterized. The transcript is spliced from 4 exons. NCBI's taxonomy places the organism in Eukaryota, Metazoa, Chordata, Mammalia, Chiroptera, Phyllostomidae. The record is from RefSeq and is a predicted model, not a curated record.